UACGAAGGGGGCUAGCGUUGUUCGGAAUUACUGGGCGUAAAGCGUGCGCAGGCGGUUUUGUAAGACAGGCGUGAAAUCCCCGGGCUCAACCUGGGAAUGGCGCUUGUGACUGCAAAGCUGGAGUGCGGCAGAGGGGGAUGGAAUUCCGCGUGUAGCAGUGAAAUGCGUAGAUAUGCGGAGGAACACCGAUGGCGAAGGCAAUCCCCUGGGCCUGCACUGACGCUCAUGCACGAAAGCGUGGGGAGCAAACAGG
RNAcentral lists this ribosomal RNA (253 nucleotides) under uncultured bacterium. RNAcentral describes it as "partial 16S ribosomal RNA". It matches the Rfam family "Bacterial small subunit ribosomal RNA", at positions 524 to 776 of the family's 1533-position model. The record is from RNAcentral.